RNAcentral lists this ribosomal RNA (307 nucleotides) under uncultured bacterium. Its description in RNAcentral is "partial 16S ribosomal RNA". It matches the Rfam family "Bacterial small subunit ribosomal RNA", at positions 506 to 807 of the family's 1533-position model. The record is from RNAcentral.
AGACAGCAGUAGCCGCGGUAAUACGAAGGGUGCAAGCGUUAAUCGGAAUUACUGGGCGUAAAGCGUGCGCAGGCGGUUUGUUAAGACAGAUGUGAAAUCCCCGGGCUCAACCUGGGAACUGCAUUUGUGACUGGCAAGCUAGAGUGUGGCAGAGGGGGGUGGAAUUCCGCGUGUAGCAGUGAAAUGCGUAGAUAUGCGGAGGAACACCGAUGGCGAAGGCAGCCCCCUGGGCCAACACUGACGCUCAUGCACGAAAGCGUGGGGAGCAAACAGGAUUAGAUACCCCCGUAGUCCCUGUCUCUUAUAC